AAACUAGAAAGUAGAAAAGUGGAAGAUAGAAAAAGCGAAGAUAGAAAAGGAGAAACUGGAAGAUAGAAAAUUAGAGGACGGAAGAUAGAAAAGGUGAACAUUAGAAAAUAGAAGAUAGAAAAACUGAAGCGGAAAAAGGCUAUACAAGGGAAACUAAUGCAAGAGGCUUCAUUCCCAGUUGGGAAAGCAAAACGAGGAAGGCAAAGCCAAAAAAAGAUAGAAGUAUUAAAGUAGAAGAGCGCACUAUUGCAGAACAGCCUAGAACAGCCCUACUGUAAGAGUAAAGGGUACUGCAGAUUUGAAGUUGGUAAUGAGGAAGAUACGCAGGUAGCAAGUCUAGAAGAUAGAAGACUGAAGUCUGAAGAUGUUCCAGGAAGAAAAGAGAGGCAAUGGCGAGGGAGAAGUUGGCUUUAAAGCUUAAAAAGUAGGGAUGGGCCAACAGCCCUGAAGCGGAGAUUUUUAGGAAGAAAUUUCAUCUCCAAAGUAGAUGUCUUGAAUUCGUUGCUUGUAAAAUUAAGGCAGUUGUUUUUUUUUGUCUGUGAAGAGCAUUAGAAGAAUUUUUAAAAGCGCCUUAAGCUAGGCCAGCGUUCUAGAAUACUUUAAAUCUUACAGGACUUCGAUGCGUGCAGUUUCUCGAGACGGAGGAUAACUUUAAAUGCCAGCUUUAACCUAGCCUUUGUCGGACUGAGCUUUGAUUGAGCUAAAAGGCUUUUUAAACCUAAAAAAAGAGGACUAGCAUUUAACGAGGAGCUGACGAAUUGAGGCCCCCCCCCCUUCCCUCUCCCAGACGGAUGUGGAUUCAGUGAAGCUAGGAAGACAGGACGGAGGAGACAGGAUUCGUGGAGCCAGUGCGCUGCUUGGUGAAGCUAGGAACCAGGAGGUGAAACGCGAAGCUAGAGGAGAGAGGACCCCCCCCCCCAGGAAGGAGCCCCCCCAGUGCGAGGUGGUGAAGCUAGCGAGGAGGCAGCGGCAGCAGCCCGGCCCAUCCCGACCCAUCCGAGGCGAUUGGAGGCAGUAGCUAGAGGCUUCUAGACCCAGGAGACCCAUUGGCAAAGGCAGAAAGGAAAAAUGUGUUUGUGGUAAAACGCGGCGAAAAAUGGUUUUACUGUGGCUAGUUUGUAACUUAACGAGGAAUGCUGUUGACUUGUAAUUUAACGGGGGCGGGGGGUGGUGGUCUGUGACUUGCAGUAUCCAGAGGGACUUGUGGUGGGGAGGGGGAAAAGAGGGGCGGGGGUCGCUUUUCGGUUGUUUUAGGUCUCCCUCUCUUGCAGGCCCGUUUUCUCGUUGGCAUCUUUAUCUGAAGCUUUGAGGGCAGUCGGCCAAGGCCCGGAGCUUAGGACGGCUGGCGUUUCCCCUUCACCUUAGAGUGGUAGAUAGCGUCAAUUGCUGUAAAAAGCGCUAAAACCCAAUUGGGGAAGUGGAGUGAGCCUGGUGGAGACACACCGAACACCUCUUGAGGCAAGGAAUUUGUAAGCGACCAAAUUUGUAAGCAGCCAAAUUGGAUCCAUUUUUGAACAGGAAUAUUUCAGUUGCGGAUAAACUGCUUUCUUCCCCCUCCCACCCCUCCCCUCGACUUCAUUUUACAGUAAGAAAUGUUUUUCUUUCACUAAUGGGGAGGGAAAGUUGGCCUUUUCUUUGGGCGGCGAGGUGGGGGGGGGCACAAUUUUUUUUUCUCCAGUUUUUUCCCCCCUCAGGUAUCUAGAAUCCAAAGCCAGCCGACCCAAGAGGUUGCAAUUAAAAAGCAAAGAAGCCAGUAUCAGAAUGUCAAACCAGAGGUGUACAAUGACUAGGAACUGAGUAGCAGUUAAGGUGUAUGGAGGAAAUGGCUUGGAGGUCUCCUAAGUGACGAAAAAGUUUUUAAAAGGACUAUUUGGGUGCGGGGUGGGGGCGUUAACGUGCUAAUAAGGGGGCGGGGUAGGGAGGCAAAAUGAGCUGUUUCUAAGACUUUUCGCAGAUAAUCUAGUCCGCUUUGGACUUGGUUUAGAAGUGUAAUACUGCAGUGCUGUUGGCGAGAAACCUCCAGAACUCGCAGCCGAUUUUACCUUGGAAGAGUUUUCCCACUUGGAGCUGGGAAGGCACAGCACAGUGCAGCUUGUUCAUUUCAUUCAGUCAUCCCCCUCUGGAGAGCUUCAGAAGAGCUUGACUAGGCCAAUUCCUGAAGUUAAGUUCUUAAAUCUGUCUUCUCUUAAAGUUGGGGAGGGGGUGAGGUUAUGCAGAUGGCAGUCCGUGGUAUGCAUUGGGGGAUGGGCUCGGGGGGAGGGUUAGGUAAUUUGUUUAUAUUUUCAGAACUCAAAAUUAAGAUGGAAAAAGCUACAGAACUCAGCUUCCAAGGUGGCAAGUAAUUCCAGGUUUUGUAGCAAUUAAACCUUGCCAGGUAAUAAAUGGAAUUUCGAGAGUCGUGGGGCAACCCUGUUACUGUAUAUCUUUAAAAAAAAAUACAGUACGCCGAUGUAAAAAAUAGUACGAGGAGAGGAUCGGAAAAGCAACACUGGUGUUCUUUCCAGUGAGUCAUCCAUAAUGAAACAUUAGGAGGGGUUGGGGAAAGGAAGGUGAAUUUAUAGAGAUAUAAGGUGAGGUAUGUAGCGGGGGAAAGAGCCUGGUUCCAUGAAGGCUCGGGGUGGAUGGCACGGACCUUUUUUUUAUUUGGGGGAAAUUUGUUGGAACUACCUUGUUUGGAUAUAGUAGUGUGUGUGGUUCUCUUUUGGAAUUUUUUUCAGGUGAUUUAAUGUAAAAGUUAAUGCUACUCUAGAAACUUCAGAGCAAAGGAAGUUGCUUUAUGACCCUGAGGUGAUCCCUUCUGUGAUGGUAGCUUUUUUAUAUUCCAAACUUUUUUCAGAUACCUUCUGAAUCAUAACCAGCCUGGCAAUAUGGCGUCCUAAAUGCAGAGGGAACAGCUCCUUGGUGAAUGAUAAGUAAAGGCAGAAAAGAUAAUUAUCUCAUUUCCUCAUGGGGGAAAAAAAAAAAAUAACCCGAGAUGGCACCCACUGGUCAACAUAAGGAAAAUACUUGGUCUUCAAAAAUCAAAAUCUAAACGAAACCUAUCAAUUCGAAGUUUUUAUGGCUUGACUCCUCAAAAAGCUUUCCCAAAAAGCGUAACAAAAUUUAUGAGAAUACCUAUUUACAAUGAAGAGAAAGUAUCCAUCUCCAAACGCUGCUUUUACAAAGGCAGAGAAAAAGCGCACACUGAAAGCCUUUACUACAUAAAUGUUACCGGAUUAGAAGAAGCUGAAGUAAUUCACAGAGGAGGAGUGGGAUGAAGUGUCACAGUUUUGGAUUGAAAGGAGGCUGUGCUGUGUUCCGUUGUUUCGUUUGCCUCAGACAGGUUUCUCUUCACUAAAUUGUGAGAGGAGUUUUACUUCAUUUCAUCUGGAGCUGAAAACAGCAGGCAUCUGUUAACAGAUAAGUUUUAAUUGCGUCAGCAAGUAUUGCAUGUUAGGGAUAAGCGUGCUUAUUUUUAUUUUGGAGAAAAAAAAACUUUAAAUUCAGGAUGGCCUUAGACAUUCGUAGCCUUUUUUACCCUCCUCCCAAGUCUAUGUGCCACACGGCUUGCAUCUCUCUGACUAUAUCGAGGCUUCUGAUUUAUAGUGGUGGUGUUGGAUUGUUUUUUGUUUUUUUCCCAUCCUGGUCCUUUAUUCAAGGCUCUCUUUAUUAUCCACCUCUUAUUUCACCAGUUGCCUAAAGGCAGAUAAGCAUAAAAUAUAUACUAGUCUUGGCAAGCUACCAAUCGCUAAGACUGGCAGUCAUUACAUACCGUCCUAGAAAAUGCCUCCAAAAGCAAAGCUGCACAGUGGCUGGCUGUUAAACAUGUCUAUAUUUUUAUUUUUAAUUUUUUGCUUGAGCUGUUUUUUUUUACACGUUUUUACUUUUUUGUUGCAUUGUGUAGCUAAAUAUUUGCAGAAAAUGUAUACUAUUUCUCAGGCACCCUUAAAUAAAGUUAGUGUGCUUUUAGCUGUCUCCUUAUUUAACAUGUAUUGUCAAUGUUGUUUGGUUAGUGUUGGGGCAAUCUGGGGGGGAUUCUUCUCUAAUCUUUCAGAAUCUUUCUCCACCGAACACUCCUCAUCAGAUCAGGAUUUGAGCAGAAGAUCGAAAAGUGUCUUUAUUCAGGCAGGAAAGACUGGCAGAAACUUUUUAACCCCCUCUUCAAUGAGCAGUUCUAGUUCCAGGCCACUUGGCAAUAGAGACCCUCUAAUUAAGGAAGGUAUCAGCCCCGAAUAAAAAUGCUUCUUAGAAGGAAACUUUAUGAACAGGAAACCAGGUAACUGAAUUCUGUCCUUAAAGACUACUUCUGUAUCCAGAAUAGUCGUGGUGAUAGGUAACUGUUCUCAGUCUUAUGAGUUGAUUAAAGUAACUAAUGUUACUCUGGUCAGUUUUACACACUGCAUGAUAAUUUUAAUGUUUGGAACCAACUCA
Long non-coding RNA from Tachyglossus aculeatus (Australian echidna), 4410 nucleotides. RefSeq lists it as uncharacterized. The record is from RefSeq and is a predicted model, not a curated record. The transcript is spliced from 2 exons. Lineage: Eukaryota; Metazoa; Chordata; Mammalia; Monotremata; Tachyglossidae.